UGCUGGAGGUAUCAGAAGUGCGAAUGCUGACAUAAGUAACGAUAAAGCGGGUGAAAAGCCCGCUCGCCGGAAGACCAAGGGUUCCUGUCCAACGUUAAUCGGGGCAGGGUGAGUCGACCCCUAAGGCGAGGCCGAAAGGCGUAGUCGAUGGGAAACAGGUUAAUAUUCCUGUACUUGGUGUUACUGCGAAGGGGGGACGGAGAAGGCUAUGUUAGCCGGGCGACGGUUGUCCCGGUUUAAGCAUGUAGGCUGGUUAUCCAGGCAAAUCCGGAUAAUCAAGGCUGAGGUGUGAUGACGAGGCACUACGGUGCUGAAGUAACAAAUGCCCUGCUUCCAGGAAAAGCCUCUAAGCAUCAGGUAACAUCAAAUCGUACCCCAAACCGACACAGGUGGUCAGGUAGAGAAUACCAAGGCGCUUGAGAGAACUCGGGUGAAGGAACUAGGCAAAAUGGUGCCGUAACUUCGGGAGAAGGCACGCUGGUGUGUAGGUGAAGUCCCUGCGGAUGGAGCUGAGACCAGUCGAAGAUACCAGCUGGCUGCAACUGUUUAUUAAAAACACAGCACUGUGCAAACACGAAAGUGGACGUAUACGGUGUGACGCCUGCCCGGUGCCGGAAGGUUAAUUGAUGGGGUUAUCCGUAAGGAGAAGCUCUUGAUCGAAGCCCCGGUAAACGGCGGCCGUAACUAUAACGGUCCUAAGGUAGCGAAAUUCCUUGUCGGGUAAGUUCCGACCUGCACGAAUGGCGUAAUGAUGGCCAGGCUGUCUCCACCCGAGACUCAGUGAAAUUGAACUCGCUGUGAAGAUGCAGUGUACCCGCGGCAAGACGGAAAGACCCCGUGAACCUUUACUAUAGCUUGACACUGAACAUUGAGCCUUGAUGUGUAGGAUAGGUGGGAGGCUUUGAAGCGUGGACGCCAGUCUGCGUGGAGCCAACCUUGAAAUACCACCCUUUAAUGUUUGAUGUUCUAACGUUGGCCCCUUACCGGGGUUGCGGACAGUGUCUGGUGGGUAGUUUGACUGGGGCGGUCUCCUCCCAAAGCGUAACGGAGGAGCACGAAGGUUAGCUAAUCCUGGUCGGACAUCAGGAGGUUAGUGCAAUGGCAUAAGCUAGCUUGACUGCGAGCGUGACGGCGCGAGCAGGUGCGAAAGCAGGUCAUAGUGAUCCGGUGGUUCUGAAUGGAAGGGCCAUCGCUCAACGGAUAAAAGGUACUCCGGGGAUAACAGGCUGAUACCGCCCAAGAGUUCAUAUCGACGGCGGUGUUUGGCACCUCGAUGUCGGCUCAUCACAUCCUGGGGCUGAAGUAGGUCCCAAGGGUAUGGCUGUUCGCCAUUUAAAGUGGUACGCGAGCUGGGUUUAGAACGUCGUGAGACAGUUCGGUCCCUAUCUGCCGUGGGCGCUGGAGAAUUGAGGGGGGCUGCUCCUAGUACGAGAGGACCGGAGUGGACGCAUCACUGGUGUUCGGGUUGUCAUGCCAAUGGCACUGCCCGGUAGCUAAAUGCGGAAGAGAUAAGUGCUGAAAGCAUCUAAGCACGAAACUUGCCCCGAGAUGAGUUCUCCCUGAGACUUUAAGUCUCCUGAAGGAACGUUAAAGACGAUGACGUUGAUAGGCCGGGUGUGUAAGCGCAGCGAUGCGUUGAGCUAACCGGUACUAAUGAACCGUGAGGCUUAACCUU
RNAcentral lists this ribosomal RNA (1675 nucleotides) under Klebsiella pneumoniae. RNAcentral describes it as "bacterial LSU rRNA". It matches the Rfam family "Bacterial large subunit ribosomal RNA", at positions 1271 to 2925 of the family's 2925-position model. The record is from RNAcentral. Lineage: Bacteria; Pseudomonadati; Pseudomonadota; Gammaproteobacteria; Enterobacterales; Enterobacteriaceae.